GAUAAACGCUGGCGGCGCACAUAAGACAUGCAAGUCGAACGAACUUAAUCGUUAGUUUACUAAUGAAGCGGUUAGUGGCGGACUGGUGAGUAACACGUAAGCAACCUGCCUAUUAGAGGGGAACAACAGUUAGAAAUGACUGCUAAUACCGCAUAUGCCAUAAGUAUCGCAUGAUACAAGUGGGAAAGGAGCAAUCCGCUAAUAGAUGGGCUUGCGUCUGAUUAGAUAGUUGGUGGGGUAACGGCCUACCAAGUCGACGAUCAGUAGCCGAGUUGAGAGACUCUACGGCCACAUUGGGACUGAGAUACGGCCCAGACUCCUACGGGAGGCAGCAGUCGGGAAUACUGCGCAAUGGAGGAAACUCUGACGCAGUGACGCCGCGUGCAGGAAGAAGGUUUUCGGAUUGUAAACUGCUUUAGACAGGGAAGAAAAAGACAGUACCUGUAGAAUAAGCUCCGGCUAACUACGUGCCAGCAACCGCGGUAAUACGUAGGGAGCAAGCGUUAUCCGGAUUUAUUGGGUGUAAAGGGUGCGUAGACGGGAAAAUAAGUUAGUUGUGAAAUCCCCAUGCUUAACAUGGGAACUGCAACUAAAACUGUUUUUCUUGAGUGCUGGAGAGGAAAGUGGAAUUCCUAGUGUAGCGGUGAAAUGCGUAGAUAUUAGGAGGAACACCAGUGGCGAAGGCGACUUUCUGGACAGUAACUGACGUUGAGGCACGAAAGUGUGGGGAGCAAACAGGAUUAGAUACCCUGGUAGUCCACACCGUAAACGAA
Molecule: ribosomal RNA, 773 nt
Filed under: uncultured bacterium
Lineage: Bacteria
Description: bacterial SSU rRNA
Rfam family: Bacterial small subunit ribosomal RNA
Source: RNAcentral